GUGGAUUAAGUUAAUGAAUGAAUGAAUGAAUGAAAAACUAUUGUUUAUACUUAGGAGCAAAAUUGCUCUUUCUAUUAAUCCUACAGGCUACUAUUUCCUCAUUAAAAUAUUUUCAUUAUAUAACUUUAAGAAACUUAAAGUAAAACAUGUACAAAUAGAAGAUGAAUUCACAGAAGCAAUUUCAAUAAUAGACUAGCUCUAAUGCCACUGUAAUGAUAGAACGCUGUGGGAUGCCCAAGGAAGUUGAUACUGGCUGGGGAAACAAGUUCUUAUUUGCUUAAUAAUGUAAUUCUCCAAAAAACUAAAAUUUAUCUUUCACUGAAAAUCUGAAGUCUGGUGCUAUAUUUAUACCAAUUUAUUCUACAGAUAUUCAGAAGUUUUCAUGGACUUAGAUACUGAAUUAGUUGUUCAGUUCUAUUCAACAAUGUAUGAUUACACUAGUAAGAUCUAUUGUGAUUCUAAAUAUAUUCCAUGAAAUGAUUUUGGAAUGGACAAAUUAUAUACAAAAUGUUUAUUGAAAAGACUAACAAAUUUAUCUAAUGCCUUAAAAACUCUAGAAAAAGAAAGAUAACAAGGCUAACCCCUUUUCCCCUAAAAUGUGUACAGUAUUAUAAAAAUCACAUUCAGAUAUGUCAUAUAACAACUUCUUCCCACCGCUUGUUUUGGUAUUAAUGCUGUUUGAUUGGAAAUCAUUGGAAGCCAUUUUAAUGGAAAUGUUACCAGUGCUUAUUAUCAAAAUAUCUUAUUGAAAAUAAAACAAAUGAACCAACCAAACAACAACAAAAACACUCCUUACUUUGAUUCCUAUUUUUUUCACCAUCCUUUCUCAAAUUCAUCUUAUAACUUCUCCUAGAUAAGAAAAAAAUGUAUGUCACUAUUUUCAACUUGAUAAAAGGCAAUUGAUUGUUGAAGGUAAUUUUUCCUUUGUUGGCUUGAAGCAGAAGCCAAAGAUUUAAUAGAUGCAUGUAUGCAUUUUUGUAAGCCUGAUCUCUAAGCCUAAAGCCUUUGAUUUCAAGGUUACAAUGUGGUACCAAUAAUGGCACAAGCCCUUUCUAUUAUCUGUAAUAGAAAAUUACAUAAACUGGGAUAAAUCCAGUUAGGAGGUCUUUUUGUGAUUUUAUACAAAACAAAAGCUUAGACUGAUAUCAGCCUUUAUCAGCUUCCCUGAUCCAGAAAACCCUUUUUCCUCCAAGCACCGCUUUUGCUGUAUCUCACAGACAUUGAUAAGUUGUGUUUUCAUUUUCAUUCAAUUCAAAAUAGUUUAAAAUUUCUCUUGUGAUUUCUUCUUUUACUCAUGUGUUAUUUAGAAAUAUAUUGUUUAAUUUCCACAUAUUUGGAGAUUUUAAUUUUAUCUUCCUGUUACUGAUGUCUAGUUUAAUUCCAUUGUGAUCUGAGAACAGACAUUAUAUAAUUUCUAUUGUUUUAAAUUCAUUAAGGUGUGUUUUAUGGUGCAGAAUGUGGUCUAUCUUGAUGAAUGUUCCAUGUGAGCCUAUGAAAAAUGUGUAUUCUGCUGUUGUUGGAUGAUAUAGGCUAUAGAUGUCAGUUAUAUUCACUUGAUAUUGAGUUUGACACUUGUUAUUCAGUUCAACUGUCCUUACUGAAGUUCUGUUUGAUGGAUCUGUCCAUUUUUGAGAGAGGUGUGUUGAAAUCUCCAACUAUGAUAGUGGGUUUACCUAUUUACUCUUGUAGUUCUAUCUGUUUUCACCUCACUUCUUUGAUACUCUGUUGUCAUUAGCAUACAUGUUAAGAAUUGUUAUGGCUUCUUGGAGAACUGAGCCCUUUUUCAUUAUGCAAUGCCCUUCUUCCAAAUAAUUUUUCUUACUUUGAAGUUAGCUCUGUCUGAAAUUAAUACAGCUACUCUUGCUUUCUUAUGAUUAGUGUUAGCAUGGUGUAUUUUUUUCCAUCCACUUAUGUUUUAUCUAUACGUGUCUACAUACUUAAAGUGGGUUUUUUAUAGAUAACAUAUAGUUGGGCCAUGUUUUAUGAUUCACUCUAACAAUCUCUGUCCUUUAAUUGGUGCAUUUAGACCACUGAUAUUCAAAGUGAUUAUCCAUAUAGUUGGAUUAAUAUCUACUAUAUUCAUUAGAGCUUUCAAUUUGCAGCCCUUGCUCUUUGUUCCUGUUUUUGUCUUCCAGUUUUUUUCUGCCUUUUGUGGUUUUAACUGAGCACUUUAUAUGAUUCUAUUUUCUCUCCUUUAUUAGUAUAUCAGUUAUACUUUUUUUAAACUUUUCUUAGUGGUUUCCCUAGAGCUUGCAAUAUACAUUUACAACUAAUUCAAGUCCACUUUCAAGUAACACUAUAUUGCUCACAAGUAGUAUAUACCUUAUAGUAACAAAAUAAUUCUAAUUCCUCCCUCCAAUCAUGCAGCCACUCAUUUCACUUAUAUAUAAGUAUAUAAAGCUUAUACAUAAGCAUACCUUAUGUAUAAGAUUAUACAUAAGGAUACAUAACUUAAUAUAUUGUUGCUAUUAUUAUUUUGAGCAAACUGUUAUCUCUUACACCAAUUAAGAAUAAGAAAAAUAAGUUAUUUUACCUUCACUUAUUUCUUCUUCAGUGCACUUCCUUUCUAAUGUAGAUUUGAGUUUCUAAUCUAUGUUAUAUUCCUUUUCACUAAAGAACUUUUUUUUUAAUUGAAGUAUAGUUCAUUCAUAAUGCUGUGUUAGUUUAUAUAUACAUAUAUAUUCUUUUCUGUUACAUUUUAUUAUACGAUAUUGAAUACAGUUCUCUAUCCUAUAUAGUAGGACCUUGUUGUUUAUCUGUUUUAUAUAUAGUAGUUUGUAUCUGCUAAUCCCAAACCUCUAAUUUAUCCCUCCCUCCUUUCCCCUUUGGUAACCAUAAUUUUGUUUUCUAUAUCUGUGAGUCUGUUUCUCUUUUGUAAAUAAGUUCAUUUGUAUCAUAUUUUAGAUUCCACAUAUAAGUGAUAUCAUAUGAUAUUAGUCUUUGUCUGACUUACUUCACUUGAUAUGAUAACCUCUGGGUCCAUCCAUGUUACUGCAAAUGGCGUUAUUUCAUUUUUUUAUGGCUACUAGUAUUCCACUGGGUACAUAUAUAUAUUUACACACACACAUUGUGUACAUAUAUAUAUUUACACACACACCUUGUGUGUGUAUAUAUAUAUAUAUAUACACACACACAGAUAUAGAUAUAGAUAUAUAUAUAUAUAUAUAUACACACACACACACACACACACACACACACACACCACUUCUUUAUCCAUUCAUCCGUCAAUGGACAUGUAGGUUGCUUCAAUGUCUUGGCAAUUGUAAAUAGUGCUGCUAUGAACAUUGGGGUGCAUGUAUCUUUUUGAAUGAGUUUUCUCCAGAUAUAUGUCCAGGAAUGGGAUUGCUGGAUCAUAUGGUAACUCUAUUCUUAGUUUUUUAAGGAACCUCCAUACUGUUAUCCAUAGUGGUUGCACCAAUUUACAUUCCUACCAACAGUGCAAGAGGGUUCCCUUUUUUCCUCACCCUCUCCAGCAUUUAUUAUUUAUAGACUUUUUGAUGAUGGCCAUUCUGACGGGUGUGAGGUGGUACCUCAUGGUAGUUUUGAUUUGCAUUUCUCUAAUAAUGAGCAAUGCUGAACAUUUUUUCGGGUGCUUAUUGGCCAUCUGUAUGUCUUCUUUGGAGAAAUGUCUAUUUAGGUCUUCUGCCCAAUUUUUAAAUUUUUUUUUACUUUUGUUUUUAUUGAGUUGUAUGAGCUGUUUGUAUUUUUUGAAAAUUAAGUCCUUGUCAGUUGCAUCAUUUGCAAAUAUACUCUCCCAUUCUGUAGGUUGUCUUUUCAUUUUGUUUAUGGUUUCCUUUGCUGUGCAAAAGCUUGUAAGUUUGAUUAGGUCCCAUUUAUUUAUUUUUGCUUUUAUUUCUGUUACCCUGGGAGACUGACUAAGAAAACUUUGGUAGGAUUUAUAUUAGAGAAUGUUUUAUCUAUGUUCUUUUCUAGGAGCCUUAUGGUGUCAUGUCUUAUAUUUAAGUCUUUAAGCCAUUUGGAGUUUAUUUUUGUGUAUGGUGUGAGGGACUGAAGAACUUUUUAUUUUUUUAACAUAUCCUGUAAAUCAGGUCUACUGGCAACUGAUUACAGAUUUUCUUUGUCUGAGAGAGUUUAUUGUUCCUUCACUUUUGAAGGAUUAUUUCACAGGAUACACAAUUCCAGGUUCGUGGGUUUUUUGUUUGUUUUCUUUCUCUCAACACUUAACAUAUUUCAUUCUACUCUUUCUUGUUUGCAUGGUUUCUGAAGAAUUGAAUGUAACUCUUAUCUCUGGCUUCUUUCAGAGGAGAAAGAAUCUCUGGAUUUUUUCUUUAUCUUUGAUUUUCUGUAGUUUGAAGAUCAGAUGCCUGGGUACAGUUUUUCUAGCAUGUGUCCUGCUUGAUUUUCUCUAAGCUUCCUGGAUAUGUAGUUCGGUGUCUAAUGUUAAUAUGGGGAAAUUCUCAGUUAUUAUUGCUUCAAAUAUUCUUCUGUUCCUUUCUCUCUUUCUUCUCCUUUUUAUAUUCAUAUUACAUAUAUUUUACACCUUCUGUAGUUCUUCCACAGUCCUUGGAUAUCCUAUUGUGUUUUUUUUUUCUUUCUUUCUCUCUUUCUUUCUUUUUAUUUUUAUUUUUAAGGAUUCUAUUGAUAUAUCCUCUAGGUCAGACAUUCUUUCCUGAGUCCUGUCCAGUUUACUGAUAAGCCCAUCAAAGGCAUUCUUCACUUCUAUUUCAGUGCUUUUGACCUUUAGCAUUUUGUUUUGGUUCUUUCUUAGGAUUUCCAUCUUUCUGCUUACAUUGUCCAUCUGUUCUUGCAUGGAGUCUGCUUUAUCCAUUAGAGCCCUUAGCAUACUAAUCCUACUUGUUUUAAAUUUGCUGGUAUGAUAAUUCUAACAUUCUGUCAUGUGUAGUUCUGAUCCUUGUUAUGUCUCUUCAAAUUGUGUUUUUUGCCUCUUGGUGUGCCUUGUAAUUUUUUCCUGACAGCCAGAUUUGAUGUACUGGGUAAAAGGAACUGCUGUAAAUAGGUCUUUGUUAAUGUGGUGGUGAGGUGUUGGGUUGGAAGUAUUGUACAGUCUUAUGAUUAGGGCUGAGUCUUUUAGUGAACCUAUGCUUGUAGAUUGUGAAUUUCACAAGUGUUUCUCAGCUCUUUUCUCUCCACUUGUCUGGGACAGGAUGGCUUGAGUAGCUGAAGUUGUGCGUUUCCCUUCUCCCAUGUAGAAGGCGAGAGCUGGCUGGAAUUGGGUGUUUCCCUCUCAAAGAAAGACAACACUUCUCCACAAUUUUGGAGGAAUUCACUAGGACUGACAAGAUCAGUAACUAUUAAAUAAUCAGAUUGGAAUAAUAUGACAAUACUAACAUUUAUUCCAAUUUUAUGUUAGUCCUACUUUGCAUCCUAUAAAAUGAAAAGGUCCUAAAUGUACUUCAACCUUGUUUACACUCUAUGGAAAUUUGAUAUAUGUUAUGUACUGAUGAUGCUAUAAACAUUUUAUGCUAUGAACUAACAUAAAAAAUUUAAAACAUCGCAGUUGUGUCAGGUUUGCUCCUUGAGUGUAGCAAAUAUUUUAUUAUGUCUCUAUGAUUUUCCAGUUAGUUUUCCCUUAGACGUCUAAAUAAAUCUGUACCUUUAAAGGAAAUGAUUUGGAAAAAGGUUUUAAUUGGUUUAUCUAUGGUUCUGAACCAAAGUUUUAAUACCAUGCAAUUUACAUUAUAAUUUAGAGAAAUUCUUAUUUAUUUAAAUCUUACUUAAAACAGUGCCUUUUUUUUUUUUUUUUUUUGCGGUACGCGGGCCUCUCACCGUUGCGACCUCUCCCGUUGCAGAGCACAGGCUCCGGACGCGCAGGCUCAGCGGCCAUGGCUCACAGGCCCAGCCACUCUGCGGCAUGUGGGAUCUUCCUGGACCGGGGCACGAACCUGCGUCCCCUACAUCGGCAGGCGGACUCUCAACAACUGCGCCACCAGGGAAGCCCAAAAACAGUGCUUUUUUAAUUUGGGGUUUAUACCUUUGUUCUUUUUAUUGUGGGUUGGUUCAUGUUUGUUUUCUAACUUGCAGAUUUUUACUAGGCCAGACUAUUUAUUUAAAAUAAACAUUUGAAGAUUUGUAGUCUCUCUUUUAAUAAUAUACAUGUCGAUAGAUAGAAGGACAGACAGAUUAAAAAAAUAUAGGGUUUAGCCAUUACUGCAUAGAAUUUGAUAUAAAACUCAAACAAUUUAGAAAGAUAUGCUGUGGAAAUUUAGCCUAUGUUCAGUUCUGGUCUCCAGCAAUAGUUCACAGUCCCAAAGAAUACGUACAUUUAAAAAACUGUUUCAUGUCAGGGGUAUUAGAUAUACCAUUUCAUUUAAUUCUUCAUCAAAGAAGCUGGAACUUAAUUUUUAUUAUUCUUAUUUUAAAGACUGACUGGGUUUAAAUUGUUCAGUAAGGUAUAGUUAGUACUACAGAGUGAGUAAUAGAAUAGAGAUUCAAAAGCUCAUCUGCCUGGUUGCAAAUCCUCUUCUCAUUUAAGCUCACUAACUUCUAGUCAUUGGUGGAGGGUUUCUAGACUCAGAGGUCAUUAUUGCUUCUCUUCUUCCUCAAGCAGAAAGCAGAAAACACACUGAGGUAUUUCCCUUUGUGUAAACUUGGUGUUUUUUGAGGGAAAAUCAAGUGUCAGAUGGUUUAUUUCCUUCCUCCCUUCCUUCCUUCCUUCCUCCCCUCCUCUCUUUUCUGUCUUUCUUCCUUGGGCUUAAUCCAUUCUGUUUGAUUCUGCUUGAUCAAUGUUUAAUAAUUAAGUACUUAUUAUACAUACAAAAUGUAUUUCCCAUUUCUACCUUGGGCAUAGGGCACACCAAUGUCUUAAAAUUUUAGCUAGCAAAAGUAUAAUGACAAUAAGAGUAUUUGAGCUAAAUUAGAAGAAAAUACUCUGGUAAAUAUUGUUCCAGAUUACACAGGCUUGAAAACUCCUGCACCAAUUUAUUCUUAAAACUCAUGUCUUCUGAUUUUGAAAAAAAAAAAUCCGUUUUUUUUCCCCAAAUCUCUCAGAUCAUUUAGGAAGAAAUAUAAAGUGUUUAUAGUUUACACACAGAAUGGAGAUAAUCCCUUUGGAGGCUCUGCAGAGUCUGUGUAGGGUUGUAAAGCAAGAAGCAAUCCAGUAGGAAUGUGGAUGCAUGUGUAUACUUAUAUAAAUAUUUAUAUCUAAUUAUUAUAUGAAUAUAUAAUGCUCUUCCUGUCAAGUAUCUGUAUGAUAUGACUGGAUAUUUUUCCACAGCCACAAGCUCUGUCCUUAUCAAGCAGAGAUAGGAAUGGGGAGGAAAUAGAGUGGACCUCUCUCUUUUGAGUGUUAAACACCAUACAACACACUUGACUGAUGGCCACUUUGCCUACAUCUCUGGCUGUGUAUGGUAACUAGUCAGCAUGAGAUAGAUAAUUUUAAACAAAUGUUACAAAAAUGUGAUAUUACUUUUUGCAAAUUGACUUGCUUGGCAGCAACAAUUUUACAAUGUCACCUAAAUGGUUAUUUUUUCCUGCAAAUUCCACCUUAUUAACUGGAAGCAAGUGUCUGGCACAUGUAGUUCAAUGUUUUGCACAUUAAGCUUAAUGAAAGUGUGUUCUUCAUGUUGGUGAUUAACCAACUCAAGAAUAAAACCAAUGAUAGCACAAUAGCCUUUACUACUUUCUCCUAUAUAAUGUAUUCAAGUGUUCUCCUUAGUUUAUUAUAUUAAUAUAAUAAUAUAAUUGAAAAUCCCAUUGUCAUUUGCUUCCAAAUAUUAAAACUAUUGAUAAUUUAUGUUGAACUAAUAAAGAAUAGCUCAAUUUAGAAAGCAGCAUCUCUAUUAAAUUACUACAUAAUUAACCACCUUAAGCAAUAAUUUUUUAAUUUGUUUACUUAGGGAUGAUUGAUUCAAAAAUUAACCUGGAUUACUGAAGUAAAAAUUUUCAAAAUUUCUAAACAGAGUUCAGUUAGUGAAUUUUGUCCUUAUUUCUUCUUUAGGAGUAUGACUUUUUCACCAUAUAUAUGAGAAAUAGCUCAGCUUGAAAAGGAAGAAUUAUUUAAGGAACAAUUAGUCAUUUGGGGAGUUGGAAGGCAGACACAAGUUAUACAAAGUGAAAGCUUCUAAUAGUCAUAGUGUAUUAAUGCAUAAGUAUUCCCAAUAUACAGUAGCUUAAAGGAACAAUAAAAUGACAAAACCAAAGAGAUAAACCCUGACGCUAGUCCUAGGAUUUGCUCUCAACAACAAAUAAAAUAUACAAUAGAUGAAAAAAUGUUUUAUUUAUGAGAGUAAAAUGAAUAGCACCAUAGGAAGUAAGUUGUUUGCUGUAGUAAACAUCAAAAGGGCAAGAAUUGCAAUUUGAUAUGUCUCCCAAGGAGUGUGAAGCUCAGAUAAAGAUGUGAGUCUAAAAUUGGAGAAGUACAUAUUUAAUAUUAAUAGAAGUCUCCACUUUGUAUAAAGACCUUGAAGUGAUAUAUAUCUUCCAUGCUAUGCCUUAGGAUGACUAUUUCAUCUGUUAGAGACUAUCACUGCCUAUCUUUAUAAAGCUUGGUUUGUUUAUAGCAAGAGUACAAAAUGCACUAUGAUUCUGUGAAACAAGAAAAAAGUGGAACUGAAAGCAAGUUCUAGAAAUAUUCUAUGAGAAAAAAAUAGUAACAGUAUUAUUUUGGAAAACAAAGCCUGAAGUAUUAGAAUUCAGUCAAAUGUGAUAUGUCGUAUAGUCAAACUUGAUCAACUAGCCCUUUCACAAAAAUGACUUUUUGUAGAGGUUAGGUGUUUACUAUGUACCAGGUACUUUUUUAGUCACUAUAUGUAUGUUAUUUAAUUUAAAUUUCACACACCUCAACAAUGUAAUAACUAUGCUAUUUUAUAGAUUAGGGAAAUGAACAUAUGAAAAUAAGCAACUCGCCCAAGGUCACAGAGUAAGUGGCAAUUCAGCCUUCAAGUAAAACUUUAACCAUAAAAACUUUGUUUCUAGUUUGCCUUAGUUAUUUAUUGCUGUAAUAAAAAUUGUCUUAAAAUAUAGUUAAAAUAACAAGAAAAUGUAAUUUCUCACAAUUUGGGCAGAUCAGAAAUUGGGAGCCACUUAGCUAAGCAGUUCUUCCUUGGGGAACUUUCAUGAGAUUUCAGUCACAAUGUCAGCCAGGGCUGCAAUCAUCUGAAGGCUUGACUAGGACUGGAAGAUACACUUCCAGAGUGGGUCACUCACAUGGCCAGCUUGUUGUGGACAGGAGGCCUCUGUCCUCCACCUAAUUCUCUGUAGUUCUCUCCACAGGACUGCUUGUGUUCUCAUGACAAGGCAGCUGGCUUCCCCAUAUGUGAGCGAGCCAAGAGACAAAAAAGCAGAAGUCAGUCUGCCUUUUCUUAUCUAGCCUCAGAAAUUAUAUACUUUCACCUCCCUAAUAUCCUCUGAUCAUACAAGUCUACCCUAUUCAACGUGAGAGGAGACCACACAAGUUCAUGAGUACUCGGAAGUCUGGGUCACUGAGGGUCAUCUUGGAGACUGGCUUCCAUAAAGCUAUAGGGCAAACAAGAAUACACUGUUCUCCAGUGGACGUUAAUUCUACUUUAUUUUUACUAUAUUAGAUAUAAUUCUAUUUCAUCACCAACAAUAUAUUGGAUAUAGUUUUCUUUAGAUAAGAAUAGAUAAUGUGGGCAUUGGAAGCUUCUCCCUAGUGAAGGGUUCAUAUCUUCCUGAUUUUACUGUAAUGUUUUGAAUAAUUACUGAAAUACACAUUCUAAAAGCAAUCAAUUUUGCAAUCAAUUAUGCAAAAAUUAUAGGCUGUGUUGUUAUAUAGUUUAACUUCCAAGGUAUUUCAGGUAACAGCUUUACAGAUGUUUUGUCAUUCCCUAACUUACAUCCUUAGCUUUCUAGCCUGUUGUAAUUUUAUCCUUGCUGCCUGCUCUGAAUGUAGGUAAUUUCUAUGACAGCAACCCAUUUCUUGGUACCAUUUUUCUGUAAUAGUUAGGACAUAGGCUAAAACGGUUGCAUCAGUAACAUUUUGCCUCAUAACAAGCCACCCUGAAACUCAGCAGCUUGAAAAACAAGCAUUGUUUAGUUCACUACUCUGCUGAGUAGUUCUCUGAGUCUGGACUGGCUCCACUCAUCUCAGUGUGUGCUCUCUCAUCUGGCUAUGUUAUUUUUGGAGUUUGAUGGUGGCUAAAUGAUCGAGGUUAGAGGAUCCCCAGAGAAAGAGAACCAGGCAUGCCUUUCUUCACAUAAGAGAAGCCAUUUUGGCUGAAGCUAUUUUGUGAUCUAAGCCUGGCCACAAUGCUUGUCUUUGAGCAGGUGUCAGUAAUUUAUAAUGUUAAGUAAGAAAAGAAUGCAGGAUAAAGGACUGUUAUCAGGCAAGAGAAGUAGCGAUAGCAAAGAUAAUAUAUCAGUUGUAGACUCCCAGUUCUGUUUUUAUGGUAAAGAUUAGCCUGAAGUGCUCAACCACCAAAUCAACUGGAACCUAAGAGAUGAUGUUAACUUUUUCUGAUCCUCAAGGCUUCAAUUCAAGUUCAAUUUUGGACUUGGCCAAAAUUUGUCCCAAUUCUAUGUUGAAUUCUCCUCUGCUCAAGCCUCUUCAUGAAUAUGCACAUACCCUUAGCUUUAAACUUUCCCAAUUUUGCUGUUGGGGAGACAAUGCUUUGGGCAAGAUCCCGGCUGUUCUUCUUACUUGCUGCAUUAAUAAAUACUUUCUUCUCCCACUCUUUGGUUUGGUUGUGUCUUUUGACUCAACACCCACCAAGAGGCAAAUCCAGUUUUUCAGGUAACACUGCCAGCUUCCACUAAAAGUAAGGUCCUUUCAAAUUCUAACCUGGUUUCAAAGCCAAUGCCACAUGUUCUGGAUUUUUAUUAUGGUAGCAAACAACUACCAGUUACCAAAUUUUAUUCUGGUGUCUACUGCUGUCUAACAAACUACUUCAAAGCUUAGUAACUUUAAACAACCACAAUUUAAUCAUAUUUCAUAACUUUGGAAUCAGUGAUUCAGGUGCAACUUGCUGUUGGAUACUUCUGCUCCAUGUGGCAUCAACUGGAGUCACUAGGUGGUAUUCAACUGGCAGCUCUAGUCUGGAGAACUGGUGGUGACAGCUGGAAGAAAGGAAUCAUCUGGUCCCCUUUCUCUCUCCAGGUAGCCUUAGGGCUACCCUAUGUGGUCUCUUCAGUGUAUAGUUAAGUUCAUACAUGGCAGCUCAGGGUUCCUCAGGAAUGCUAAGAGCCUAAAGAGGCUAGAAGCAGUACUGACAUAGUGUCAUCUCCUCCAUGCUCUAUUACUUCAAGCAGUCACAGGUCAGCUCAUAUUCAAAGGGAUUGAACAAAGACCUGCCUUUCAAUAAGAGGAGUGUCAAAGAUUCUACAGCUACCUUUAAUCUGCAAAGAGGUUAAAUUACAUGGAACACUUGAAAUUCCCUUGCUUCAUAACAUUAGUUUAGAAAUCCUGCCUGCUUAUUCUUUUGUCAUUUACGCCCUUAUAAGUAAACUGGGAGAAAGCAUAUUCCUUUGCAUAAAGUAAAACAAAAUUGUAGAGAUGUUAACGUGAGUCCACAAAUUAUGUCCAAGGAAAGAAACUGUAGCCUAGUUGUUUACAAUGUUUGGAGACAGGCUUUGGGAGAAAUUUCUCUGUUCUACAUUUAUAAUUAUAAUGAUAAAAUAACUAAUUGUCAAUGCUUCGUGAGGCCUGUCUGGUCUUAGGUCCAGGAAUUUUAUAUCAAAGAAUCCUAUCUUAUUUAACGCAAAACCAGAGUGAGUAAUGCUUGGAAUUUUAUAUAGUAAGAAAUAAGAUAAUAACGAAUCAUUCGAAUUAACCUGUAUGUUUUUUUUAUUGUCCUCAAUUUUCUCAUUCAGGUCAAAAUGAUUAUAGCAAGGACUGUGCCGAAGAGAGAAGGCAUUGCUAAAUUUGCAAGACUUAUAACCAGGACACUCUGACAUUUGGAAACAUAAACAAGCAAAGGAAAGCAAGAAAGGUUGCCCUGUCUGACUAAAAAAAGAGCUAGAUAAUUUUAUUUCAAUGAGAAAACAGUGCACAUUUAUAAUAUUUCAGAAAAAUUUAGUAAGAUUAACAGUGUCUAUUGGAUUUUUGAGUGUGGAAUUUAUUGGUAACAUUUACAAAACCAGUUUAAAUAUAGUGAUGGUGCAGGAAGCCAAAUUAGAAAGUCUUGAAGAGUGAAUAGUAAUGGGAGGAGAGAAUCAGAAGAGAGUACUUAAUCAAGGUUUAUACUUGAUUAUACUGAAGGAUAGUCAAGAAAAUUGUUUGGAGUAUGAGGAGCAUGAAAAUCAGAGGAGGUUCUUAAAUUAUUUUAUGGCAAUCUUCUUUGGAAAACUACCAUGAUACAAAUUAAUUCAGUAAAAUGAUGUAUUUGGGGAGGAGGGGCAAAUAGUAUUUAUAAAAAUUAUUGCUUGCCAAUCUUUUUAUAGAAAAAUAUAUCUUAUAGAAAGUUAAAUUUCUGAAAAAUCAGAAGAUCUGCACCCACCACCCUCUGUAUGACCCCAUUGGCCUCAGCUCAACUUCCUUCUCUUUGUUAUUCCCUGCUUUCUUGGCGGAGCUGGGUUCAUUCAACUGACAGUUAGAAAUCUAUUUUAUGUCAGAGCUAGGUGCACACAUAUGCAUGUAUGUCUCAAAGUAUAUAUUAUAAAACAAUACACAUCCUUGUAUAUAUAAUAAAUUUGAGUAUUUUAAUUUUAGUCCUGCAGUAGUAAAGGAAGAAUCUGUAACCCGCUCUGGGAGUUGGCAAGAUCAAACUGCAUUCAUAAUACUACUAAAUCAUUAUUGUUCUUGUUCACUUUCAAUCUCUCAUGAGUGUGCAGAGAAGUAUUUGUUUUUGUUUUCCAGAAGCUACAUGCUGUAUAAUGAUGUCAGCACUCUUUUGAAUAAUUGAGAGUAUAGUUGUGUAUUGGUUUUCUAGAACUUUCUAAGUGAGUAGAUUUAGUAUAUAAAUAUGUACAUAUUCAAACAUUAAAUCAUACUCUUCUGGA
Long non-coding RNA from Orcinus orca (killer whale), 12876 nucleotides. RefSeq lists it as uncharacterized. The transcript is spliced from 2 exons. The record is from RefSeq and is a predicted model, not a curated record. NCBI's taxonomy places the organism in Eukaryota, Metazoa, Chordata, Mammalia, Artiodactyla, Delphinidae.